UACGUAGGGUCCGAGCGUUAAUCGGAAUUACUGGGCGUAAAGCGUGCGCAGGCGGUUUUGUAAGCCAGAUGUGAAAUCCCCGGGCUUAACCUGGGAAUGGCAUUUGGGACUGCAAGGCUGGAGUGCGGCAGAGGAGACUGGAAUUCCUGGUGUAGCAGUGAAAUGCGUAGAUAUCAGGAGGAACACCGAUGGCGAAGGCAGGUCUCUGGGCUGACACUGACGCUCAUGCACGAAAGCGUGGGGAGCAAACAGG
RNAcentral lists this ribosomal RNA (253 nucleotides) under uncultured bacterium. Its description in RNAcentral is "partial 16S ribosomal RNA". It matches the Rfam family "Bacterial small subunit ribosomal RNA", at positions 524 to 776 of the family's 1533-position model. The record is from RNAcentral.